UACGUAGGGUGCAAGCGUUUGUCCGGAAUUAUUGGGCGUAAAAGAGCUCGUAGGCGGUUUGUUGCGUCGGCUGUGAAAUCCCGAGGCUCAACCUCGGGUCUGCAGUCGAUACGAGCAAACUAGAGUGUUGCAGGGGAGACUGGAAUUCCUGGUGUAGCGGUGAAAUGCGCAGAUAUCAGGAGGAAACACCCGGUGGGCGA
RNAcentral lists this ribosomal RNA (200 nucleotides) under uncultured bacterium. RNAcentral describes it as "partial 16S ribosomal RNA". It matches the Rfam family "Bacterial small subunit ribosomal RNA", at positions 524 to 718 of the family's 1533-position model. The record is from RNAcentral.